Molecule: ribosomal RNA, 301 nt
Filed under: uncultured bacterium
Lineage: Bacteria
Description: partial 16S ribosomal RNA
Rfam family: Bacterial small subunit ribosomal RNA
Source: RNAcentral
CAGUCGCCGCGGUAAUACGUAGGGUGCAAGCGUUAAUCGGAAUUACUGGGCGUAAAGCGUGCGCAGGCGGUUUUGUAAGUCUGUCGUGAAAUCCCCGGGCUCAACCUGGGAAUGGCGAUGGAGACUGCAAGGCUGGAAUCUGGCAGAGGGGGGUAGAAUUCCACGUGUAGCAGUGAAAUGCGUAGAUAUGUGGAGGAACACCGAUGGCGAAGGCAGCCCCCUGGGCUAAGAUUGACGCUCAUGCACGAAAGCGUGGGGAGCAAACAGGAUUAGAUACCCGUGUAGUCCCUGUCUCUUAUAC